This 301-nucleotide ribosomal RNA is filed under the name uncultured bacterium. RNAcentral describes it as "partial 16S ribosomal RNA". It matches the Rfam family "Bacterial small subunit ribosomal RNA", at positions 509 to 807 of the family's 1533-position model. The record is from RNAcentral.
CAGUCGCCGCGGUAAUACGGAGGAUCCAAGCGUCAUCCGGAAUCAUUGGGUUUAAAGGGUCCGUAGGCGGUCUUGUAAGUCAGUGGUGAAAGCCCAUCGCUCAACGGUGGAACGGCCAUUGAUACUGCAGGACUUGAAUUAUUGGGAAGUAACUAGAAUAUGUAGUGUAGCGGUGAAAUGCUUAGAGAUUACAUGGAAUACCAAUUGCGAAGGCAGGUUACUACCAAUUGAUUGACGCUGAUGGACGAAAGCGUGGGUAGCGAACAGGAUUAGAUACCCCCGUAGUCCCUGUCUCUUAUAC